Long non-coding RNA from Panicum virgatum (switchgrass), 516 nucleotides. RefSeq lists it as uncharacterized. The record is from RefSeq and is a predicted model, not a curated record. The transcript is spliced from 3 exons. Lineage: Eukaryota; Viridiplantae; Streptophyta; Magnoliopsida; Poales; Poaceae.
UUUGCAACAUUAUGGAGGCGGACUGCUCGAGUUACCUGACGAGGGUACGUCACGGAUCCGCUAUGACCCAGACUGAGCAGGCAGAUGCAUGGUCGAGGACUCGAGACCAUCUGCGUUCAGUACUGCACAACUUGGGGAGCCGUGUGCAGUAUGAAGAUAGUCACGGAUCGUCCCAGGCCUCGUCGUCGUUCCAGUGUCCAGCUUCCACGCACGAGACGACCUUUCAGCCAGAUCUGCCACACCAGUACUUCAAUACUGGAGGAUAUGGUCCCUCUUCUGCGUUCGGCCAUACUGGCCAUUUGGGCCAGCAAGGAUCCCAGUUCGUUCCACAGUAGGGAUGGGAAUGUUUGGAGGGCUACCACCAGUUGGGGGACCGUACUCAGGGAUGGGACCACCGACACACACACCACCCUACACAGGAUUCUAUCCAGAUGCGGGCGUCGGACCUUCCUCCUCCAUACGACCUGGUACAAAAUAAUCUCUCAAUACACUCACUAUAUUUUUAACAAAACAUAU